Molecule: non-coding RNA, 45 nt
Filed under: Schistosoma margrebowiei
Lineage: Eukaryota; Metazoa; Platyhelminthes; Trematoda; Strigeidida; Schistosomatidae
Source: RNAcentral
ACCCAUCUGACGAGUCCCAGAGCGGACGAAACGCGUGUCCUGAAU